UCUUUCUUUCCUUGCAUUGAAAGAUAUGGAUAUUGUUGGGAGAAAGAGAAGGUGUUUCUGUUCCACUCUACAUCUUCUUCUUCUGACUUUCUUCAUUGCCAUACUUCUACAAAGAGGUACUGUGGCUGAAUCAUCCAGCAUCCAAAACUACACAAGGUAUAGACAAAUUAGUAGCUUGAGGCUUGAAAGGAUUAAUAAGCACUUGGAAAAGAUUAACAAGCCUCCUGUUCUCACCAUUGAGGUAAUGUUAUUUAUUGCCAUUAAUUAAUGUUUCAAAUAAUGUGUGUUUGUUUGUGUAUGUGAUAGUGGUUGAGAUUUUAAUGAUCAUGCACACAAAAUAAAAUGUUCUACUUUUCCUUCAUUUUUUUUGUUAAUAAGGUUUUUUUAAUUAUCUUUUCUUGGUUGGUAUUAUUAAUUUCAGAGCCCAGAUGGAGAUCUUAUAGAUUGUGUCCACAAAAGAAAACAACUAGCUUUGGAUCACCCACUUUUAAAGAAUCACAAGAUCCAGGUACAACUAUUGGAAAGUUGACUAUUGAAUAUGAUUUGAUAAUUAAUGUAAUAUUACUAGUUUUUUUUUUUGUGUUUAACAUGUCUUUAUAAAAUGGACUUGUUAAAUAAAGAAGGUCAAUGUUUAUAAACUUUUUAAACUUUAUAUCUUCUAAAUGUAUGACUUGAUUUUUUUUUUUCAACACAGAAAGUACCAAGUGAAAUGCCAAGAGGUAUGAAAAUGGAGAGAGAUGAGAAUGUUGAUAGUG
RNAcentral lists this long non-coding RNA (755 nucleotides) under Medicago truncatula (barrel medic). RNAcentral's name for it is "long non-coding RNA (MTRU_LNC005718)". Lineage: Eukaryota; Viridiplantae; Streptophyta; Magnoliopsida; Fabales; Fabaceae. The record is from RNAcentral.